RNAcentral lists this ribosomal RNA (137 nucleotides) under uncultured bacterium. RNAcentral's name for it is "partial 16S ribosomal RNA". It matches the Rfam family "Bacterial small subunit ribosomal RNA", at positions 355 to 507 of the family's 1533-position model. The record is from RNAcentral.
UGAGGAAUUUUCCGCAAUGGGCGAAAGCCUGACGGAGCAAUGCCGCGUGGAGGACGAAAGCCUGUGGAUCGUAAACUCCUUUUCUCAGAGAAGAAGAUCUGACGGUAUCUGAGGAAUAAGCAUCGGCUAACUCCGUG